This 506-nucleotide ribosomal RNA is filed under the name uncultured bacterium. Its description in RNAcentral is "partial 16S ribosomal RNA". It matches the Rfam family "Bacterial small subunit ribosomal RNA", at positions 28 to 523 of the family's 1533-position model. The record is from RNAcentral.
GAUUAAUGCUGGCGGCGUGCCUAACACAUGCAAGUCGAACGGUAACAGGAAGCAGCUUGCUGCUUCGCUGAGGAGUGGCGGACGGGUGAGUAAUGUCUGGGAAACUGCCUGAUGGAGGGGGAUAACUACUGGAAACGGUAGCUAAUACCGCAUAAUGUCGCAAGACCAAAGAGGGGGACCUUCGGGCCUCUUGCCAUCGGAUGUGCCCAGAUGGGAUUAGCUUGUUGGUGGGGUAACGGCUCACCAAGGCGACGAUCCCUAGCUGGUCUGAGAGGAUGACCAGCCACCCUGGAACUGAGACACGGUCCAGACUCCUACGGGAGGCAGCAGUGGGGAAUAUUGCACAAUGGGCGCAAGCCUGAUGCAGCCAUGCCGCGUGUAUGAAGAAGGCCUUCGGGUUGUAAAGUACUUUCAGCGGGGAGGAAGGGAGUAAAAUUAAUACCUUUGCUCAUUGACGUUACCCGCAGAAGAAGCACCGGCUAACUCCGUGCCAGCCGCCGCUGUAA